UACGUAGGGGGGCAAGCGUUGUCCGGAUUUAUUGGGCGUAAAGGGCGCGUAGGCGGUGCGGUAAGUCACCUGUGAAAUCUCCUGGCUCAACUGGGAGCUUGCAGGCGAAACUGCCGUGCUGGAGUGUGGGAGAGGUGCGUGGAAUUCCCGGUGUAGCGGUGAAAUGCGUAGAUAUCAGGAGGAACACCGGUGGCGAAGGCGGCUUUCUGGACAGAUACCGACGCUGAGGCACGAAAGCUAGGGGAGCAAACAGG
RNAcentral lists this ribosomal RNA (254 nucleotides) under uncultured bacterium. RNAcentral describes it as "partial 16S ribosomal RNA". It matches the Rfam family "Bacterial small subunit ribosomal RNA", at positions 524 to 776 of the family's 1533-position model. The record is from RNAcentral.